Molecule: ribosomal RNA, 150 nt
Filed under: uncultured Alphaproteobacteria bacterium
Lineage: Bacteria; Pseudomonadati; Pseudomonadota; Alphaproteobacteria
Description: partial 16S ribosomal RNA
Rfam family: Bacterial small subunit ribosomal RNA
Source: RNAcentral
UUGGGACUGAGACACGGCCCAAACUCCUACGGGAGGCAGCAGUGGGGAAUCUUGCACAAUGGAGGAAACUCUGAUGGCACCAUGCCGCGUGAGCGAAAAAGCCUUAUGGUUGUAAAGCUCUUUCGUCGGGGAAGAAAAUGACUGUACCCG